GCCGUAUUGAAAAUUCCUUCAAGUGCCUGGAGCAGAUUAAUUAGUGAAAAAUCAGUAGAAGAGUCGCAAGGUUUGAUUCACAGUCUCUGGAUAUAAAAAACUAAUCACCAAAUAAUAUACUCAAUACCCUCCAGACUGAAGGGAGUGGUCUAACCGGGGGAAUAUGAACAAUAACCAUGUUGUUGCCUAUUAAUCGAUGCAGCUCAAAGCACAUUCACUCGGUCAUCAGCAUACACAAUGUGUCUUCAGGUGCUAUGAAUGUGUAACCAUAUUGCCAACUAACUGACGCAUCUCAAAAAUCUUUGACUCGGUCAUUGGCAACUCCAAGGUCAUCUCGUUGAAUAUUUUACUGUAAGAGGUCUCCUUGAAACCCAAUUUUUGGAAUAGACUGAGAGAGACGUGAUUUAAUUCUCCAAUUU
Molecule: unclassified non-coding RNA, 419 nt
Filed under: Hevea brasiliensis (rubber tree)
Lineage: Eukaryota; Viridiplantae; Streptophyta; Magnoliopsida; Malpighiales; Euphorbiaceae
Source: RNAcentral